This 805-nucleotide long non-coding RNA is filed under the name Homo sapiens (human). RNAcentral describes it as "HSALNT0086615". Lineage: Eukaryota; Metazoa; Chordata; Mammalia; Primates; Hominidae. The record is from RNAcentral.
UCCAUAGCUUGCUUUUGGGGAGUGUAUUAGUUUGCUCUCAUGCUGCUAAUAAAGACAUAUGUGAGAAUGGGUAAUUUAUAAAGGGCAGAGGCUUAAUUGACUCACAGUUCAGCAUGGCUGGGGAGGCCUCAGGAAACUUACAAUCACGGCAGAAGGGGAAGCAAACAUGUUCUUUUUCACAUGGCAGCAGCAAGAAGUGCAGAGCAAAGCAGGGGAAAAGCCCUUUAUAAAACCAUGAGAUCUUGUGAGAACUCACUAUCAUGAGAACAGCAUGGAGGUAACCAACCCCAUGAUUCAAUUACCUUCCAUCGGGUCCCUCCCAUGACACGUGGAGAUUAGGGAACUACAAUUCAAGAUGUGAUUUGGGUGGGGACAUGGCCAAACCAUAUCAGAUGUACAGACGCCAAGAGGAAUCUGAGACCAGAGUGGUGAAGUGAUUUACCCAACAUUGUCUACCUGGGUGUCAGCACAGCCUGAGCUCAGACUUCCCUGCGUGGUUCCAUCGUUUAGUCAACAAAUAUUUAUUGAUUGCCUACAACAUCACACAGACCAUUUAGAGAUUGGAUCUCGCUAUGCUGCCAAGGCUGGUUGCAAACUCCUGGCCUCAAGUGAUCCUCCCACCUUGACCUCCCAAUGUGCUGUGAUUAUAGGUGUGCAUCACUGCACCUGGCAUUGAUUCAGUAGACUUUGAAUAAAGCAGAUUAUUCCCCAAAAUGUGAGUGGGCCUCAUUCAAUCGGUUGACAACAUUGAGAAAAAAAAAGGUCCCUCAAGGAAGAAGUUCUGCCUCCAGACAAUCUUCAGGCU